Molecule: ribosomal RNA, 442 nt
Filed under: uncultured bacterium
Lineage: Bacteria
Description: partial 16S ribosomal RNA
Rfam family: Bacterial small subunit ribosomal RNA
Source: RNAcentral
CCUACGGGAGGCAGCAGUGGGGAAUAUUGGGCAAUGGACGCAAGUCUGACCCAGCAACGCCGCGUGAAGGAAGAAGGCUUUCGGGUUGUAAACUUCUGUUAAGGGGGAAGAGUAGAAGACGGUACCACUUGAAUAAGCCACGGCUAACUACGUGCGAGCAGCCGCGGUAAUACGUAGGUGGCAAGCGUUGUCCGGAUUUACUGGGUGUAAAGGGCGUGCAGCCGGAGAGACAAGUCAGAUGUGAAAUCCGCGGGCUCAACCCGCGAACUGCAUUUGAAACUGUUUCCCUUGAGUAUCGGAGAGGUGAUUGGAAUUCCUGGUGUAGCGGUGAAAUGCGUAGAUAUUAGGAAGAACACCAGUGGCGAAGGCGGAUGACUGGACGACAACUGACGGUGAGGCGCGAAAGCGUGGGGAGCAAACAGGAUUAGAUACCCGGGUAGUC